AGGGAAGGGAGGAGCAGUGACAGGAGCUCUGCUUUCAGAGAGUGUGUUGUGACAUCACAGCUUCAAGCCAGACAGCUCAGCUGAUAUGGAGAGAUCUAUGGAAACUGGGAGGUAUAUAGGCAUGUGGAAAGCUGCUGCAGCACAUCAGAAAAUACAGUAUGACCAUCCAUAAGGGCAGAACAUGCAACUUCGUAAGAAAUUGUCAGGAAACUUUUAGUGCUGCAAAGUUUUGUUCUACAAGGUCAGGAAAUUGUCACAACCAAACCAUAAAGAUAAAACCACCAAUAAUUCAUGGCUGAUACCUCAAGAUUCCUUCCUGUAACAGCCAAUGUUCUGCAGAAAUUGUAUGGCAGAAACAAUACGAUUAGGUCAGUGCUGUGUCAAGUACAGUGGAUAUCAAGAGGUUUUUUAUAGAAAGAAAGGUAAA
Molecule: long non-coding RNA, 427 nt
Organism: Hyla sarda
Lineage: Eukaryota; Metazoa; Chordata; Amphibia; Anura; Hylidae
Exons: 3
Source: RefSeq, a predicted model, not a curated record